AACGCUGGCGGUAGGCCUAACCCAUGCAAGUCGAACGGCAGCACAGUAAGAGCUUGCUCUUCCGGGUGGCGAGUGGCGGACGGGUGAGGAAUACAUCGGAAUCUACUUUUUCGUGGGGGAUAACGUAGGGAAACUUACGCUAAUACCGCAUACGACCUACGGGUGAAAGCAGGGGAUCUUCGGACCUUGCGCGAUUGAAUGAGCCGAUGUCGGAUUAGCUAGUUGGCGGGGUAAAGGCCCACCAAGGCGACGAUCCGUAGCUGGUCUGAGAGGAUGAUCAGCCACACUGGAACUGAGACACGGUCCAGACUCCUACGGGAGGCAGCAGUGGGGAAUAUUGGACAAUGGGCGCAAGCCUGAUCCAGCCAUACCGCGUGGGUGAAGAAGGCCUUCGGGUUGUAAAGCCCUUUUGUUGGGAAAGAAAAGCAGCAGGUUAAUACCCCGCUGUUCUGACGGUACCCAAAGAAUAAGCACCGGCUAACUUCGUG
This 488-nucleotide ribosomal RNA is filed under the name uncultured bacterium. RNAcentral's name for it is "partial 16S ribosomal RNA". It matches the Rfam family "Bacterial small subunit ribosomal RNA", at positions 32 to 507 of the family's 1533-position model. The record is from RNAcentral.